ACACAUGCGCCUUGCAAGGAAGGGCGAGAUUUCGGGGGCAGGGCGGGGGGCGGGCCUAGGCCGGGGUCUCACAGCGACUGCGCGGACGGGUUCCUGAGUGGAACAUGGCGACUUGCGCCGAAAUCCUGCGGAGCGAGUUCCCCGAAAUUGACGGACAAGUCUUCGACUACGUGACCGGCGUCUUGCACAGCGGCAGCGCGGACUUCGAGUCUGUGGAUGACCUGGUGGAAGCUGUAGGGGAACUAUUGCAAGAGGUGUCCGGGGACAGCAAGGAUGACGCGGGCAUCAGGGCCGUGUGCCAGCGCAUGUACAACACUCUGCGUCUGGCUGAGCCACAAAGCCAGGGAAAUAGCCAGGUGCUACUGGACGCCCCUAUCCAGUUGUCAAAGAUAACGGAGAACUACGGUGAGAGUGAGGGGAGGUUGAACUAACUGCCCCCCUGUGCUUUUCUCCGCCCCCAACCAUCUGCUGCCUGCAGCUUAGGGCUCCUACGUCUUUUCCACAGGACAAGGUUGUAGGAGCUAGUUGAUGUCUUUACCGAGGGCAGAAAAGCCCAUGAUGGGGGUGGGGAGGAGGUUGGAGGGUUCUCCCUCCAGGCUCUUGGGUAGGGUAGGAAGCAUAAGAGCGUGGAGCUGGACAGACGUGCUUUCACCCCCAGUUUUGCAACUUGCUAACCAGCUGCAUGAUCUUGUAAGAGUUGGUUAUCUGUCCCCAGCCUCGUCUAUGCCUCUGUAUCCUUCUACGUGAGUUUUGUUUUGUUUUGUUUUUAGUGCAGGGAAGAUAAUAGCCAUCUAUCUGCAGUA
This 803-nucleotide small RNA is filed under the name Pan troglodytes (chimpanzee). Its description in RNAcentral is "retained intron". The record is from RNAcentral. Lineage: Eukaryota; Metazoa; Chordata; Mammalia; Primates; Hominidae.